Non-coding RNA from Nothobranchius furzeri (turquoise killifish), 1175 nucleotides. The record is from RefSeq and is a predicted model, not a curated record. Lineage: Eukaryota; Metazoa; Chordata; Actinopteri; Cyprinodontiformes; Nothobranchiidae.
ACUCGAUGCUGCACACAGACAGCUGGUGUGAUCAGCACUGAAAAGUGUUGAUCACAAUUUGCAGAUCAUGUUUAUUUUUCACGGAGAUCGGCCGCGGGUUCCUCUUCCGUCGGCACUCUAGGAAUUGAAAUAAAAACUUUGAACGAUUCCAGGAAAAUCAAACAGUUGGAACCGGUUCCAAUCAAUGCUCGAUGCUCAAUGUCCAACCCUAAAGGUGGUGCAACAAAACUUUAUUAUUAACACAUGAUCGUUCAUAUCUUUUUAAAUCCUCUGGUAUUCUGUCUUUUUAUCAUUCCUGACGCGCUCCACUCAUCAUGUGCUGCAGUGAUUUCACCUCACUAAUGCAGCAUCGAAACUAGAGCUGAAACAACUAAUCGAUUUAAUCGAUUAUAAUCGAUUAUUCAAAUAGUUAACAACUUUUUUAGUCAUCGAUUAGUUGUUUAAUAAUCACAUUUUACCGCAUAAAGUCUAUUUUUACCACAAUCUGACAUCGGUUACAAUCUGUUAAAUUUGCCGCCAGUGUGUGGCAGUAAUGAGCCACUGAUCUACCAGUGGAGCCGUAGAAGAAGAAACGAGCCAAUAAGUGCCCUCGGUUUUCACGACGUAACACGUUACUGACGCGCAUCUUGCUGUGAGAGAUGGCGGCCGGCGGAACAAGAAGAAAUACGGAAGAAACUGAAGAGAAACCCCGGACAAAAACCUCACGAGUUUGGGAGCACUUCACUCUAGAUGCCAUGAAAAGACGGGAGACCUGCAAAAUAUGCUAAAACCAUCUAGCAUGGCACGGAAGCACGACGUCCCUAAGUGAACAUUUGAGACGAAAACAUGUGGGGGCUGAUGCAGCAACAAAGGAGCCAGCCCGAAAAAAACAAGCAACGAUGGACAACUACAAGGGGAACAAGACACUCACCCCCCAGCAAUGCAUACCACUUACAAACUCUAUUCUAGAUUCUGCAUUAUUUUUUUAUGGAAUUUACCUCUUACAUUUUGAUGCCAAAAAAUUAUUCUGGACUGAUAUUUUGCACUGUUUAGCUCAUUUUACACCGCUGACUGUGUUCAUGUGCAAUAAAAUAGAUUGCAGUCAACUGCACAAUUCUCUUAUGUUUUUCUUAACUGAAAUGUAUUCAUCACUUGUAUUGGUUAAAUAGCUAAACAAUAACAAACCGAUUAAUCGA